RNAcentral lists this ribosomal RNA (459 nucleotides) under uncultured bacterium. RNAcentral's name for it is "partial 16S ribosomal RNA". It matches the Rfam family "Bacterial small subunit ribosomal RNA", at positions 338 to 795 of the family's 1533-position model. The record is from RNAcentral.
CCUACGGGAGACUGCAGUGAGGAAUAUUGGUCAAUGGGCGCGAGCCUGAACCAGCCAAGUCGCGUGAGGGAAGACGGUCCUAUGGAUUGUAAACCUCUUUUGUCGGGGAGCAAAAGACGCCACGCGUGGCGUUCCGAGAGUACCCGAAGAAAAAGCAUCGGCUAACUCCGUGCCAGCAGCCGCGGUAAUACGGAGGAUGCGAGCGUUAUCCGGAUUUAUUGGGUUUAAAGGGUGCGCAGGCGGAAGAUCAAGUCAGCGGUAAAAUUGAGGGGCUCAACCUCUUCGAGCCGUUGAAACUGGUGUUCUUGAGUGAGUGAGAGGUAUGCGGAAUGCGUGGUGUAGCGGUGAAAUGCAUAGAUAUCACGCAGAACUCCGAUUGCGAAGGCAGCAUACCGGCGCUCAACUGACGCUCAUGCACGAAAGUGUGGGUAUCGAACAGGAUUAGAUACCCCUGUAGUC